CAGCAGUAGCCACGGUAAUACAGAGGGUGCGAGCGUUAAUCGGAUUUACUGGGCGUAAAGCGUGCGUAGGCGGCUUUUUAAGUCGGAUGUGAAAUCCCUGAGCUUAACUUAGGAAUUGCAUUCGAUACUGGGAAGCUAGAGUAUGGGAGAGGAUGGUAGAAUUCCAGGUGUAGCGGUGAAAUGCGUAGAGAUCUGGAGGAAUACCGAUGGCGAAGGCAGCCAUCUGGCCUAAUACUGACGCUGAGGUACGAAAGCAUGGGGAGCAAACAGGAUUAGAUACCCCUGUAGUCCCUGUCUCUUAUAC
RNAcentral lists this ribosomal RNA (304 nucleotides) under uncultured bacterium. RNAcentral describes it as "partial 16S ribosomal RNA". It matches the Rfam family "Bacterial small subunit ribosomal RNA", at positions 506 to 807 of the family's 1533-position model. The record is from RNAcentral.